UCUUAAGUUGUUUGGUGACCAACGUGAGAACCAGAAGAAGACGCCCCACCAACACAGUUAUAAAAAAUAAGAAAUUAGGAAGGCAGGGUGGGGAAUACAUGGACGACAGUCCCAGUGACACUUCGCCCUCCGCCCCGCUGCUGCAGCUGCCCUCUGGCCCUGCCCGACCUCUGCUACCCACCGGCACUGCCCGGCCCGGCCCAGCCGCUGCUCCCCGCCCGCCGCUGCUGACCUCUGGCCCGGGUGCCGCCGCCCUCUGGCCCGGCCCGACCGCUGGUGCCCUCUGGCCAGGACCCGGCCGCUGGUGCCCUACGACCCGGCUGCUGCCCUCCGUCCAACAGCCCAGACGUCUUGAUUCGCUCAUUCAGUGUGAGGUAGUAGAUUGUAUAGUUUAAGGGUAGUGAUUUUACCCGUUUCAGAAGAUAACUAAACAGUCUACUGCCUUCCUUGAGGAGUGAUAUUGCUUCAGGUCUACUAAUGGAUCGUUCGGUGAAUGAUCUGAUUAACGUUGGGUUCACAUCAUACUUGUGAGAUGAGGUGAUCAAUGCUUUGGAGAAAGAUGUGCGUGUAAGAUUUUUGAUUUCCUAUUUGAGGAGACCGGUCUCCUCCCAAUCGGUGGUCGUUUCACCUCAUUGUGAACGUCAGUUAAAACAUUAACGGGUCGGCUUUGCAUGAUGGUAACGUAUUGUAUGAAACUGCUUUGGUGUUUAUUUUUGCAAUUUCUUAAAUAAAAUAUUGAUGAACUAUAA
Gadus macrocephalus (Pacific cod) is the source of this 749-nucleotide long non-coding RNA. RefSeq lists it as uncharacterized. The record is from RefSeq and is a predicted model, not a curated record. The transcript has 2 exons. Lineage: Eukaryota; Metazoa; Chordata; Actinopteri; Gadiformes; Gadidae.